RNAcentral lists this unclassified non-coding RNA (26 nucleotides) under Mus musculus (house mouse). Its description in RNAcentral is "piRNA piR-mmu-68476053". Lineage: Eukaryota; Metazoa; Chordata; Mammalia; Rodentia; Muridae. The record is from RNAcentral.
AGGAAAGAGUCUAAUGAGGUGCAGCA